CUGCCUUUCCUUGUCACGCCACCCCUGCCUCACUUCUCCCAACCCCGACUCUGUCGGCAUGGCUUUGCUGGUCUUUCUAAGUAGGAAAAACAUUUGGCUCACUGACCUGCAAGGAUCCUGCUCCAUUUACGUUCAGCAUCGCCAUGCCUGUGAGUCUUCGUGACUCUGGCCCUUGGAAAUCCUGCUUUGCUCUAAUCCCUCCCCUUCUGCUGUGUUGGUCUGGCUCAAAUGAGUUUAAGUUAGGCUGGGUUUCCCCUUUGGGUAAAAAAUAGCACAGUUUCUAAAUUCUGCUCUCUGUCCACAUCUGUAGGAUGAUCUCUACAUAUCAACACGACCCCGUCGGUGACUGUUCUGUUCACACCUUGUACAUCUUCGCUGAUUUUGUCUAGUUGAUCCACUGGUCACUACAAGAGGAAUGCAGCAAUCUCCCAACUGCAUCUGGUGAACUCCCUCUUCUUUCAAUUCUCCUAAUUUCCUAGGGUUUCCCUUUGUGUGUGCCUCGCGUGCGGCCCACCAGUGACCUGGGCGAGGUCGUUUGCAAGUGCCCCGAGCUGCGGGGCCCCACGCUCUGCUGAGCCGCUGGUGGGGGGGGACAGCAGUACUUUCACAGCUUAGCCGGCUGUCGUAUGUCCCUCGGUGCUGCUUUCUCCUGAGCUCUGCUGGGUCUCCUCCGUGCGUGUGCACAGUUCCCGUCGCCCAGGGACACGUGGAGAGCUUACCUCGAGUGGCGUGGCGGAGGUGAGCUGACGCCUCAGGGUCACACUCAGAUGCAGACAGAAGUAACGGAAGCGUGAGACACUGUUAACGUCGUAAGGAAGAGUCUUGGGACAGGAAGAGCUGAAGAAACCACUCAUCGACGACACUGGAAAGGAAACCACCGCGAGGCCGCUCACUCAGCUGCUGAGGUCAUUCACGUGUGUCUCUUAAAACGUUAGGCUGACCUCAGCCUAAAUGUGACCCGGCAGUCCUGUACAUAAAUCCGACUCGUUCAUACGGUAUAAAAGCCCCUUUCCCGUCUAGUGCCGUGUCUUCUGAACAGCCUCUUUCUGCACUUGGCAUCCAUGGCCGGCACCACCACGAGGUCCCCACGUCUCCGGUGCGUCCGUAACUUCCCUCCCCAGGCGUCCACUUGUUGACCACCUCAGACCCACAGAGAAUGUCAUGCAUUUUGAUGCCAUUUCCAACUUCCGAAGCGAAGUAUACUCAGCUCCCUGUGUGUUACAGCCAAGAGAGGAGGAAGGGCUAGUCGACCCGUGAUGCCUCUCCGCCUGGCUCUGGGCUCGGAGGUUCAACCUCCAUCCUCACCUCCUUUCACACAACAAAAUAAAUAUUAACAGGCUGAA
Long non-coding RNA from Suricata suricatta (meerkat), 1343 nucleotides. RefSeq lists it as uncharacterized. The transcript is spliced from 2 exons. The record is from RefSeq and is a predicted model, not a curated record. NCBI's taxonomy places the organism in Eukaryota, Metazoa, Chordata, Mammalia, Carnivora, Herpestidae.